GACGAACGCUGGCGGCGUGCCUAAUACAUGCAAGUCGAACGAACCGCGACUAGGUGCUUGCACUUGGUCAAGGUGAGUGGCGAACGGGUGAGUAACACGUGGGUAACCUACCUCAUAGUGGGGGAUAACAGUCGGAAACGACUGCUAAUACCGCAUAGGACAUAGGAUCACAUGAUCCAGUGAGGAAAGGUGGCGCAAGCUAUCGCUAAGAGAUGGACCCGCGGUGCAUUAGCUAGUUGGUAGGGUAAAGGCAUACCAAGGCGAUGAUGCAUAGCCGACCUGAGAGGGUGAUCGGCCACAUUGGGACUGAGACACGGCCCAAACUCCUACGGGAGGCAGCAGUAGGGAAUCAUCCGCAAUGGACGCAAGUCUGACGGAGCAACGCCGCGUGAGUGAAGAAGGUCUUCGGAUCGUAAAGCUCUGUUGUUAGAGAAGAACAGCGCAUAGAGUAACUGUUAUGCGUGUGACGGUAUCUAACCAGAAAGCCACGGCUAACUACG
Molecule: ribosomal RNA, 500 nt
Filed under: uncultured bacterium
Lineage: Bacteria
Description: partial 16S ribosomal RNA
Rfam family: Bacterial small subunit ribosomal RNA
Source: RNAcentral